Molecule: ribosomal RNA, 495 nt
Filed under: uncultured bacterium
Lineage: Bacteria
Description: partial 16S ribosomal RNA
Rfam family: Bacterial small subunit ribosomal RNA
Source: RNAcentral
GACGAACGCUGGCGGCGUGCCUAAUACGUGCAAGUAGAACGCUGAAGGAGGAGCUUGCUUCUCUGGAUGAGUUGCGAACGGGUGAGUAACGCGUAGGUAACCUGCCUGGUAGCGGGGGAUAACUAUUGGAAACGAUAGCUAAUACCGCAUAAGAGUAGAUGUCGCAUGACAUUUGCUUAAAAGGUGCAAUUGCAUCACUACCAGAUGGACCUGCGUUGUAUUAGCUAGUUGGUGAGGUAACGGCUCACCAAGGCAACGAUACAUAGCCGACCUGAGAGGGUGAUCGGCCACACUGGGACUGAGACACGGCCCAGACUCCUACGGGAGGCAGCAGUAGGGAAUCUUCGGCAAUGGACGGAAGUCUGACCGAGCAACGCCGCGUGAGUGAAGAAGGUUUUCGGAUCGUAAAGCUCUGUUGUAAGAGAAGAACGAGUGUGAGAGUGGAAAGUUCACACUGUGACGGUAUCUUACCAGAAAGGGACGGCUAACUACGUG